This 18-nucleotide small nuclear RNA is filed under the name Arabidopsis thaliana (thale cress). RNAcentral's name for it is "snRNA_05200". The record is from RNAcentral. Lineage: Eukaryota; Viridiplantae; Streptophyta; Magnoliopsida; Brassicales; Brassicaceae.
AUGGUAGCCCAAACUCAA